UCCCUCACCUGGCACAUACUAUUGUUGUUCUUCAACCAAGCUUUAUAAACUACUUCUGUAUUCAUGAGAAAUAAAUGUUGUAUUUUACAGAUUAUGCCAUCCUUAAUAAGACUGAUUUCAGUGGGGUGGCAGACUCUACAUUAUUUUGAUUAGCUGCAAGCACAUUUCCUAAUCUUCUCCAGAAGAAGACUAUACAGCAAAAUGGACCUCAAGUCUCCAAAGAAAAUGUUCUUUUGUCCAGAGAAUUAGCAUAUAACAGUUUCAAAGAAUAAAAAUCCUGUAUGCAUGUAGGGGCUGGCUGAAUGAGUUUUACAUACCUGCAAAAUGUUUUCUUGCCUUGUUCUGAUGACAUCAAGCUAUGGGUCCAGCCUGAUGAGAAUUUUCCUUGAACUGCUCUGCUAUCUGCCAAGAAUCCCUAGUGUGGGUCCUCUUCUGCUUCUCCAUCAGUACUUUGGAAGCUGUGUGUAUGUACUGUUAAGAUUUUUGCAGACUGAGGAAUAUACACAAGAGAAGAAAAACAGUUUAAAAUCUUAGAAGACAUGACUGAAAUAUCACGAGAUUUUAAAGGACAGGACUCGGGCAAAAAGUACAGG
Molecule: long non-coding RNA, 593 nt
Filed under: Crocodylus porosus (Australian saltwater crocodile)
Lineage: Eukaryota; Metazoa; Chordata; Crocodylia; Crocodylidae
Description: lncRNA (ENSCPRG00005006753.1)
Source: RNAcentral